This 388-nucleotide ribosomal RNA is filed under the name uncultured bacterium. Its description in RNAcentral is "bacterial SSU rRNA". It matches the Rfam family "Bacterial small subunit ribosomal RNA", at positions 29 to 417 of the family's 1533-position model. The record is from RNAcentral.
AUUGAACGCUGGCGGCAUGCCUUACACAUGCAAGUCGAACGGCAGCACGGGGGGUAACCCCUGGUGGCGAGUGGCGAACGGGUGAGUAAUACAUCGGAACGUGUCCAGUAGCGGGGGAUAACCUCUCGAAAGAGAGGCUAAUACCGCAUACGACCUACGGGUGAAAGAGGGGGAUCGCAAGACCUCUCACUAUUGGAGCGGCCGAUGUCGGAUUAGCUAGUUGGUGGGGUAAAAGCCACCAAGGCUACGAUCCGUAGCUGGUCUGAGAGGACGACCAGCCACACUGGAACUGAGACACGGUCCAGACUCCUACGGGAGGCAGCAGUGGGGAAUUUUGGACAAUGGGCGCAAGCCUGAUCCAGCCAUGCCGCGUGGGUGAAGAAGGCCU